CUACGGAGGGUGCAAGCGUUAUUCGGAAUCACUGGGCGUAAAGGGUGCGUAGGCGGUUUGAUAAGUCUGAUGUGAAAUCCUAUGGCUCAACCAUAGAACUGCAUUGGAAACUGUCAGACUAGAAUACUGAAGGGGCAGAUGGAAUUAGUGGUGUAGGGGUAAAAUCCGUAGAUAUCACUAGGAAUACCGAAAGCGAAAGCGAUCUGCUGGGAAGUUAUUGACGCUGAGGCGCGAAAGCGUGGGGAGCAAACGGGAUUAGAAACCCGUGUAGUCC
RNAcentral lists this ribosomal RNA (274 nucleotides) under uncultured bacterium. RNAcentral describes it as "partial 16S ribosomal RNA". It matches the Rfam family "Bacterial small subunit ribosomal RNA", at positions 523 to 796 of the family's 1533-position model. The record is from RNAcentral.